GUGGGAGCUGGCUUGCCUGCGAUGAGGCCCUGUCAGUCAGCUCAUUUGCAGGCUGACCCACCGCUAUCGCAGGCAAGCCAGCUCCCAC
RNAcentral lists this non-coding RNA (88 nucleotides) under Pseudomonas tolaasii NCPPB 2192. The record is from RNAcentral. Lineage: Bacteria; Pseudomonadati; Pseudomonadota; Gammaproteobacteria; Pseudomonadales; Pseudomonadaceae.